CAGCGAAACUGCUAAAAAGUUGGAUUAAAUUCAACUUUCAGCGACGUCGGUCUCGCGCAUAAAUGUGAAAUUUAAACAUGGAACUGCAAGAUAUAGCUGUACAUACUUGUGGAAUAUGUGAAAUAAUUAUUGAGGAAAAAAACAUUCCAACUCAUAGUUGUAUAGAAGGAUAUAAUCGGUUGUUAAUUGAUGAAAAUUUUACUUCUAUCCAGUAACAGAUGAUGAUGGCAUUGUUCGACGAAGCCUUGGUUGACAACGAAGAUGUCAUUCUGCCAGUUCGUGAACACAUUACAGGAACUAUUAAAAUACUUCCAACAAUAAAUAAGGAAGCAUCACAAAGGGAAAAUAAAACUAGAUCUCUCAAUAAAAGAAAUAAAUCGAAAAGCUACGAAAUCUACGUUUAAUUAUGACGACGAGGAACUCUUAAUUUUAUCCGUUCAAGAAAGAAGAUCUCUCUGGGAUUUUACUAUUCCACUAGAGCAGCGAUGCCAACGAUUGACAAAAAAAUUGUGGGAUGAAGUGUCUGAAACAUUGGGAGGUAAGCUUAGCGGAGAAGAAGCAAAAAAAAAAUUUAAAAAUUUACAUGACGUUUACCGACGAAUAAUUCAUUCCGAAAAUCACCCCAGUGGAUCGGCUAGACCUUCUCCUACACAAAAAUGGCACCAUUACGACUCCAUGGAGUUUCUGCGCGAUCUGUGCCUUGUCAAGAAGGGAAAAGCUUCAAAUAUUGACACUGAUGAUGACACUUCAAGUAUUGGCGAAUCAAUAAAUAAUGCAACUGGCGAUGGCAAUAAUGAUGAAGAGUUAGAAGUAUUAGGUGCGCCUAAAAAAAAAAAAAAAUAUGGGACAGCAGCCCAGUGCACUGGAAAGGAUUGCCGAUUCGCUCUGUCAACCACCAACUCCAUUUGUAAUACCAUCAGCACCCAAACCCGAUGAAAUUGAUUCGACUUUAGCAGUUAUUGGAUGCAGAUUAAGAUUGAUGAAUCGAAAGAAUCAGUUAGAUGUUAUUCAACGAAUUAUGAACUUAACUUAUAAUGUACUUCAAAAAGAAGAUUGAUUAUUAAUUA
This is a non-coding RNA of Linepithema humile (Argentine ant), 1067 nucleotides long. The record is from RefSeq and is a predicted model, not a curated record. NCBI's taxonomy places the organism in Eukaryota, Metazoa, Arthropoda, Insecta, Hymenoptera, Formicidae.